UACGUAGGUGACAAGCGUUGUCCGGAUUUACUGGGCGUAAAGAGCGCGCAGGCGGUCGAUCAAGUCGAGUGUGAAAGCCCCCGGCUCAACUGGGGAGGGUCAUUCGAUACUGAUCGACUCGAAGGCAGGAGAGGGUAGUGGAAUUCCCGGUGUAGUGGUGAAAUGCGUAGAUAUCGGGAGGAACACCAGUGGCGAAGGCGGCUUUCUGGCCUGUUCUUGACGCUGAGGCGCGAAAGCCAGGGGAGCAAACGGG
Molecule: ribosomal RNA, 253 nt
Filed under: uncultured bacterium
Lineage: Bacteria
Description: partial 16S ribosomal RNA
Rfam family: Bacterial small subunit ribosomal RNA
Source: RNAcentral